GGGGGGGGCAAGCGUUGUUCGGAAUUACUGGGCGUAAAGGGCUCGUAGGCGGCCAACUAAGUCGGACGUGAAAUCCCUCGGCUUAACCGGGGAACUGCGUCCGAUACUGGAUGGCUUGAGUUUGGGAGAGGGAUGCGGAAUUCCAGGUGUAGCGGUGAAAUGCGUAGAUAUCUGGAGGAACACCGGUGGCGAAGGCGGCAUCCUGGACCAACACUGACGCUGAUGAGCGAAAGCCAGGGGAGCAAACGGGAUUAGAUACCCCGGUAGUCCUGGCCCUAAACGAUGAAUGCUUGGUGUGACGGGUAUCGAUCCCUGUCGUGCCGAAGCUAACGCAUUAAGCAUUCCGCCUGGGGAGUACGGUCGCAAGGCUG
RNAcentral lists this ribosomal RNA (371 nucleotides) under uncultured bacterium. Its description in RNAcentral is "bacterial SSU rRNA". It matches the Rfam family "Bacterial small subunit ribosomal RNA", at positions 527 to 896 of the family's 1533-position model. The record is from RNAcentral.